Molecule: non-coding RNA, 275 nt
Organism: Arachis ipaensis
Lineage: Eukaryota; Viridiplantae; Streptophyta; Magnoliopsida; Fabales; Fabaceae
Source: RefSeq, a predicted model, not a curated record
UGAAAGUGACGAGGAGCAAUUUGAUUGAGAAAGCUGUUGUUCAGGUCUUCGAAGGUACCUCUGGGAUUGACAAUAAGUUACAACUGUGCAAUUUACUGGAGAGGUAUAACUUGUUUUUAUUAUUGUCUACUUUAGCUUGAUGUCCAUGUGAAAUUGAGUUUGCAAAUUCAUUGAGUUUACUGUCUUUGAUUUUUGCUCUCUGCUGUUUACUUCUUAGAUGACCCUUUCUUCUGAUUGCUCAUUUUUGUAAAGAGAAUCUGGUGUCCUUUGUAUUC